GACGAACGCUGGCGGCAUGCCUAACACAUGCAAGUCGAGCGAACAGAUGAAGUGCUUGCACUUCUGACGUUAGCGGCGAACGGGUGAGUAACACGUAAGGAAUCUACCUAUAAGCGGAGGAUAACAUUCGGAAACGGGUGCUAAUACCGCAUAAUAUCUUCUUCCGCAUGGAAGAAGAUUGAAAGACAGCUCCGCUGUCACUUAUAGAUGACCUUGCGGUGCAUUAGUGAGUUGGUGGGGUAACGGCCUACCAAGACGAUGAUGCAUAGCCGACCUGAGAGGGUGAUCGGCCACAUUGGGACUGAGACACGGCCCAAACUCCUACGGGAGGAAGCAGUAGGGAAUCUUCCGCAAUGGGCGAAAGCCUGACGGAGCAAUGCCGCGUGAGUGAAGAAGGCCUUCGGGUCGUAAAACUCUGUUAUAAGAGAAGAACAAAUUGUAGAGUAACUGCUACAGUCUUGACGGUAUCUUAUCAGAAAGCCACGGCUAACUACGUGCCAGCAGCCGCCGUAA
This 513-nucleotide ribosomal RNA is filed under the name uncultured bacterium. RNAcentral describes it as "partial 16S ribosomal RNA". It matches the Rfam family "Bacterial small subunit ribosomal RNA", at positions 28 to 523 of the family's 1533-position model. The record is from RNAcentral.